GAUCAUGGCUCAGGAUGAACGCUGGCGGCGUGCUUAACACAUGCAAGUCGAACGGGAAAUACUUUAUUGAAACUUCGGUGGAUUUAAUUUAUUUCUAGUGGCGGACGGGUGAGUAACGCGUGGGUAACCUGCCUUAUACUGGGGGAUAACAGCCAGAAAUGACUGCUAAUACCGCAUAAGCGCACAGAACCGCAUGGUUCCGUGUGAAAAACUCCGGUGGUAUAAGAUGGACCCGCGUUGGAUUAGCUAGUUGG
RNAcentral lists this ribosomal RNA (254 nucleotides) under uncultured bacterium. RNAcentral's name for it is "partial 16S ribosomal RNA". It matches the Rfam family "Bacterial small subunit ribosomal RNA", at positions 15 to 252 of the family's 1533-position model. The record is from RNAcentral.